GAACAACUUACUCGUAUCAGUCUGAAGCUGCGUGUUAAAUCAUUUACCUUUAUGACAAACUGCACAAAGUACAAGCUGUUACAUUCAGGAUUCUACUGAGGCUUCGUGCUACUUCCUCAACCCCAUGGCUCAUACCUGCUGUGCAAAGGAUUGUGGGUAAGAACAGGCAGUAAAGAAGCCUGCUUGCAUACAGUAAAAUGUGCCUGAAUGUGACUAAGUGUUUUCAUCUUAAAGUUCCUCCCUUUGUCCCAUUUCGGUUAUUGUUGUUAAAUAUAUUUGCGUGUGGUGGGUUGCAGAUAUUUUAGGGGGCAGGUGCUCAAACCAAAACAAAAGGGGGCUCUUUUGUUUUGGCAAAUUACUCAAAAUUUGAGAGCGCAAAUCAGGUUGAUGCGAGCGAGCAGGAAGGUGAACUUCGUCGCUCGCUGUUCUUUCUGAAUGAAUCCUUCACACGCUCAGCGCGCAGCGACGUGUCCUUGACGCCAGUCGGCUGGCGGUCGUUGUUGAACUUUGACCUCUGUGAGGUCAUCCAGCGCACACAGCAAUGGAGGACGUGUCGUCAUUCAGGAACCUGUGUGUGUCUGUGUGUGUGUGUGUGUGUCUCUGUGUGUGUGUGUGUGUGUGUGUGUGUCUGUGUGUGUGUGUGUCAGUGUGUGUGUGUGUGUGUGUCUGUGGGUGUGUGUGUGUGUGUGCGUGUGUCUCUGUGUGUGUGUGUGUGUGUGUGUGUCUGUGUGUCUCCUCCCCCAUGUCUUUGCUUCCAGUCUGUUCUUCACAGGUGUGGUGAGUUGCUGCUGACGAUGUGGGCGUGGCUAGCUGUUCCUCCAGCCAAUCCAGCUCUGCUCUAUAAAAUGUCUGUGUGUGUGUACUUACCCCAGGAGCGCUGUGGAGCAGGACCAGGUCAGAUACCCUGGGGCCU
Molecule: long non-coding RNA, 913 nt
Organism: Gasterosteus aculeatus aculeatus (three-spined stickleback)
Lineage: Eukaryota; Metazoa; Chordata; Actinopteri; Perciformes; Gasterosteidae
Source: Ensembl